RNAcentral lists this ribosomal RNA (376 nucleotides) under uncultured bacterium. RNAcentral describes it as "bacterial SSU rRNA". It matches the Rfam family "Bacterial small subunit ribosomal RNA", at positions 29 to 434 of the family's 1533-position model. The record is from RNAcentral.
AACGAACGCUGGCGGCAGGCUUAACACAUGCAAGUCGAGCGCCCCGCAAGGGGAGCGGCAGACGGGUGAGUAACGCGUGGGAACGUACCUUUUGCUACGGAAUAACUCAGGGAAACUUGUGCUAAUACCGUAUGUGCCCUUCGGGGGAAAGAUUUAUCGGCAAAGGAUCGGCCCGCGUUGGAUUAGCUAGUUGGUGAGGUAAAGGCUCACCAAGGCGACGAUCCAUAGCUGGUCUGAGAGGAUGAUCAGCCACACUGGGACUGAGACACGGCCCAGACUCCUACGGGAGGCAGCAGUGGGGAAUAUUGGACAAUGGGCGCAAGCCUGAUCCAGCCAUGCCGCGUGAGUGAUGAAGGCCCUAGGGUUGUAAAGCUCU